UACGAAGGGUGCAAGCGUUACUCGGAAUUACUGGGCGUAAAGGGUGCGUAGGUGGUUGUUUAAGUCUGUUGUGAAAGCCCCGGGCUCAACCUGGGAACUGCAUUUGUGACUGCAUGGCUAGAGUACGGUAGAGGGGGAUGGAAUUCCGCGUGUAGCAGUGAAAUGCUUAGAUAUGACAUAGAACACCAAUUGCGAAGGCAGCUCACUACGGGAUUAUUGACACUGAGGCACGAAAGCGUGGGGAUCAAACAGG
RNAcentral lists this ribosomal RNA (253 nucleotides) under uncultured bacterium. Its description in RNAcentral is "partial 16S ribosomal RNA". It matches the Rfam family "Bacterial small subunit ribosomal RNA", at positions 524 to 776 of the family's 1533-position model. The record is from RNAcentral.